RNAcentral lists this ribosomal RNA (429 nucleotides) under uncultured bacterium. RNAcentral describes it as "bacterial SSU rRNA". It matches the Rfam family "Bacterial small subunit ribosomal RNA", at positions 355 to 776 of the family's 1533-position model. The record is from RNAcentral. RNAcentral also lists the same sequence under 1 other name.
UAGGGAAUCUUCCACAAUGGACGAAAGUCUGAUGGAGCAACGCCGCGUGAACGAUGAAGGCUUUCGGGUCGUAAAGUUCUGUUGUAAGGGAAGAACAAGUGCCGCAGGCAAUGGCGGCACCUUGACGGUACCUUGCGAGAAAGCCACGGCUAACUACGUGCCAGCAGCCGCGGUAAUACGUAGGUGGCAAGCGUUGUCCGGAAUUAUUGGGCGUAAAGCGCGCGCAGGCGGCCUCUUAAGUCUGAUGUGAAAGCCCCCGGCUCAACCGGGGAGGGCCAUUGGAAACUGGGAGGCUUGAGUAUAGGAGAGAAGAGUGGAAUUCCACGUGUAGCGGUGAAAUGCGUAGAGAUGUGGAGGAACACCAGUGGCGAAGGCGACUCUUUGGCCUAUAACUGACGCUGAGGCGCGAAAGCGUGGGGAGCAAACAGG